This 440-nucleotide ribosomal RNA is filed under the name uncultured bacterium. RNAcentral describes it as "partial 16S ribosomal RNA". It matches the Rfam family "Bacterial small subunit ribosomal RNA", at positions 338 to 795 of the family's 1533-position model. The record is from RNAcentral.
CCUACGGGAGGCAGCAGUGGGGAAUAUUGCACAAUGGGGGAAACCCUGAUGCAGCAACGCCGCGUGAGUGAAGAAGUAUUUCGGUACGUAAAGCUCUAUCAGCAGGGAAGAAGAUGACGGUACCUGAGCAAGAAGCCCCGGCUAACUACGUGCCAGCAGCCGCGGUAAUACGUAGGGGGCAAGCGUUAUCCGGAUUUACUGGGUGUAAAGGGAGCGUAGACGGUGGGACAAGUCGGAAGUGAAAACCCGGGGCGCAACCCCGGGACUGCUUUGGAAACUGCCUGACUGGAGUGCUGGAGAGGCAAGCGGAAUUCCUAGUGUAGCGGUGAAAUGCGUAGAUAUUAGGAAGAACACCAGUGGCGAAGGCGGCUUGCUGGACAGUAACUGACGUUGAGGCUCGAAAGCGUGGGGAGCAAACAGGAUUAGAUACCCGAGUAGUC